GUCCCGGUAGCUCAGGGGGAGAGCGCCGCCAUGACAGGGCGGAGGCCGCUGGUUCGAUACCGGCUCGGGGCAC
This 73-nucleotide transfer RNA is filed under the name Actinoplanes ianthinogenes. RNAcentral describes it as "tRNA-Val". It matches the Rfam family "tRNA". From Rfam's summary of the family: Transfer RNA (tRNA) molecules are approximately 80 nucleotides in length. Their secondary structure includes four short double-helical elements and three loops (D, anti-codon, and T loops). Further hydrogen bonds mediate the characteristic L-shaped molecular structure. tRNAs have two regions of fundamental functional importance: the anti-codon, which is responsible for specific mRNA codon recognition, and the 3' end, to which the tRNAs corresponding amino acid is attached (by aminoacyl-tRNA synthetases). tRNAs cope with the degeneracy of the genetic code in two manners: having more than one tRNA (with a specific anti-codon) for a particular amino acid; and 'wobble' base-pairing, i.e. permitting non-standard base-pairing at the 3rd anti-codon position. Lineage: Bacteria; Bacillati; Actinomycetota; Actinomycetes; Micromonosporales; Micromonosporaceae. The record is from RNAcentral.